GGCCUUUUGGUUUAUAAAUAUAAAAGGUCUGACCUGCCCAGUGACUAUAUGUUAAACGGCUGCGGUACCCUGACCGUGAAAAGGUAGCAUAAUCAUUUGCCUUUUAAUUAGAGGCUGGAAUGAACGGUUUGACGAGAACUAAGCUGUCUCUUUAAAAAUAUUAAAAAAUUAACUUUUAGGUGAAGAGGCCUAAAUUUUGUUGGGGGACAAGAAGACCCUAUUGAGCUUUAGUGAUUUUCUGGGUUUAGGAAGUUUUGUAUUCCGGGAAAAAUCUUUGAUUGGGGCGAUUCAGGAAUAAGUAAAACUUCCCUGUUUGAUUGUGGACAUUCAAGUUUUGAUCCAAUAUUAUUGAUUAAAGGAAAAAGUUACCGUAGGGAUAACAGCGUAAUCUUCUUGGAGAGUUGAUAUCGAAAAGUGGGUUUGCGACCUCGAUGUUGGACUAAGAUAUCCUGAGGGCGCAAGAGCUUCAAGGGUUGGUC
This 479-nucleotide ribosomal RNA is filed under the name Seguenzia sp. Vanuatu-eidalima. Its description in RNAcentral is "partial 16S rRNA". It matches the Rfam family "Bacterial large subunit ribosomal RNA", at positions 1819 to 2577 of the family's 2925-position model. Lineage: Eukaryota; Metazoa; Mollusca; Gastropoda; Seguenziida; Seguenziidae. The record is from RNAcentral.